CAGCCGCCGCGGUAAUACGUAGGGUGCGAGCGUUAAUCGGAUUUACUGGGCGUAAAGCGUGCGCAGGCGGCCCGUUAAGACAGGUGUGAAAUCCCUGGGCUCAACCUAGGAAUUGCGCUUGUGACUGGCGGGCUCGAGUACGGUAGAGGGGGGUGGAAUUCCUGGUGUAGCAGUGAAAUGCGUAGAGAUCAGGAGGAACACCGAUGGCGAAGGCGGCCCCCUGGGCCUGUACUGACGCUCAUGCACGAAAGCGUGGGGAGCAAACAGGAUUAGAUACCCUGGUAGUCCACGCCCUAAACGAUGGGUACUAGCCGUUUGGUGCGCGAUAGCGCUGAGUGGCGAAGCUAACGCGAGAAGUACCCCGCCUGGGGAGUACGGCCGCAAGGUUGAAACUUAAAGGAAUUGGCGGG
This 410-nucleotide ribosomal RNA is filed under the name uncultured microorganism. RNAcentral describes it as "bacterial SSU rRNA". It matches the Rfam family "Bacterial small subunit ribosomal RNA", at positions 509 to 917 of the family's 1533-position model. The record is from RNAcentral.